This 505-nucleotide ribosomal RNA is filed under the name uncultured bacterium. Its description in RNAcentral is "partial 16S ribosomal RNA". It matches the Rfam family "Bacterial small subunit ribosomal RNA", at positions 28 to 507 of the family's 1533-position model. The record is from RNAcentral.
GACGAACGCUGGCGGCGUGCCUAAUACAUGCAAGUCGAACGCACAGUUUAUACCGUAGCUUGCUACACCAUACACUGUGAGUUGCGAACGGGUGAGUAACGCGUAGGUAACCUGCCUGGUAGCGGGGGAUAACUAUUGGAAACGAUAGCUAAUACCGCAUAAUAUUGAUUAUUGCAUGAUAAUUGAUUGAAAGAUGCUAUUGCAUCACUACCAGAUGGACCUGCGUUGUAUUAGCUAGUAGGUGAGGUAACGGCUCACCUAGGCGACGAUACAUAGCCGACCUGAGAGGGUGAUCGGCCACACUGGGACUGAGACACGGCCCAGACUCCUACGGGAGGCAGCAGUAGGGAAUCUUCGGCAAUGGACGAAAGUCUGACCGAGCAACGCCGCGUGAGUGAAGAAGGGUUUCGGAUCGUAAAGCUCUGUUGUAAGAGAAGAACGGGUGUGAGAGUGGAAAGUUCACACUGUGACGGUAUCUUACCAGAAAGAGACGGCUAACUACGUG